RNAcentral lists this microRNA precursor (98 nucleotides) under Malus domestica (apple). RNAcentral describes it as "miR398b stem-loop (mdm-MIR398b)". Its record names the gene mdm-MIR398b. The stretch from base 6 to 92 matches the Rfam family "MIR398 microRNA precursor family". The record is from miRBase by way of RNAcentral. Lineage: Eukaryota; Viridiplantae; Streptophyta; Magnoliopsida; Rosales; Rosaceae.
GGUAGAGGGGUUCCACAGGAGUGACCUGAGAUCACAUGUAGCAUUUAUGUAUUGCGCUUGAUGUGUUCUCAGGUCGCCCCUGCGGUACCUUCUCUACC